AUUGAACGCUGGCGGCAGGCCUAACACAUGCAAGUCGAACGGUAACAGGAAGAAGCUUGCUUCUUUGCUGACGAGUGGCGGACGGGUGAGUAAUGUCUGGGAAACUGCCUGAUGGAGGGGGAUAACUACUGGAAACGGUAGCUAAUACCGCAUAACGUCGCAAGACCAAAGAGGGGGACCUUCGGGCCUCUUGCCAUCGGAUGUGCCCAGAUGGGAUUAGCUAGUAGGUGGGGUAACGGCUCACCUAGGCGACGAUCCCUAGCUGGUCUGAGAGGAUGACCAGCGACACUGGAACUGAGACACGGUCCAGACUACUACGGGAGGCAGCAGUGGGGAAUAUUGCACAAUGGGCGCAAGCCUGAUGCAGCCAUGCCGCGUGUAUGAAGAAGGCCUUCGGGUUGUAAAGUACUUUCAGCGGGGAGGAAGGGAGUAAAGUUAAUACCUUUGCUCAUUGACGUUACCCGCAGAAGAAGCACCGGCUAACUCCGUG
RNAcentral lists this ribosomal RNA (490 nucleotides) under uncultured bacterium. RNAcentral's name for it is "partial 16S ribosomal RNA". It matches the Rfam family "Bacterial small subunit ribosomal RNA", at positions 30 to 507 of the family's 1533-position model. The record is from RNAcentral.